This 1428-nucleotide ribosomal RNA is filed under the name uncultured organism. RNAcentral describes it as "16S ribosomal RNA". It matches the Rfam family "Bacterial small subunit ribosomal RNA". The record is from RNAcentral.
UGGCUCAGGAUGAACGCUAGCUACAGGCUUAACACAUGCAAGUCGAGGGGCAUCAGGAAGAAAGCUUGCUUUCUUUGCUGGCGACCGGCGCACGGGUGAGUAACACGUAUCCAACCUGCCCUUUACUCGGGGAUAGCCUUUCGAAAGAAAGAUUAAUACCCGAUAGCAUAAUGAUUCCGCAUGGUUUCAUUAUUAAAGGAUUCCGGUAAAGGAUGGGGAUGCGUUCCAUUAGGUUGUUGGUGAGGUAACGGCCCACCAAGCCUUCGAUGGAUAGGGGUUCUGAGAGGAAGGUCCCCCACAUUGGAACUGAGACACGGUCCAAACUCCUACGGGAGGCAGCAGUGAGGAAUAUUGGUCAAUGGGCGCUAGCCUGAACCAGCCAAGUAGCGUGAAGGAUGAAGGCUCUAUGGGUCGUAAACUUCUUUUAUAUAAGAAUAAAGUGCAGUAUGUAUACUGUUUUGUAUGUAUUAUAUGAAUAAGGAUCGGCUAACUCCGUGCCAGCAGCCGCGGUAAUACGGAGGAUCCGAGCGUUAUCCGGAUUUAUUGGGUUUAAAGGGAGCGUAGGUGGACUGGUAAGUCAGUUGUGAAAGUUUGCGGCUCAACCGUAAAAUUGCAGUUGAUACUGUCAGUCUUGAGUACAGUAGAGGUGGGCGGAAUUCGUGGUGUAGCGGUGAAAUGCUUAGAUAUCACGAAGAACUCCGAUUGCGAAGGCAGCUCACUGGACUGCAACUGACACUGAUGCUCGAAAGUGUGGGUAUCAAACAGGAUUAGAUACCCUGGUAGUCCACACAGUAAACGAUGAAUACUCGCUGUUUGCGAUAUACAGUAAGCGGCCAAGCGAAAGCAUUAAGUAUUCCACCUGGGGAGUACGCCGGCAACGGUGAAACUCAAAGGAAUUGACGGGGGCCCGCACAAGCGGAGGAACAUGUGGUUUAAUUCGAUGAUACGCGAGGAACCUUAUCCGGGCUUAAAUUGCAGUGGAAUGAUGUGGAAACAUGUCAGUGAGCAAUCACCGCUGUGAAGGUGCUGCAUGGUUGUCGUCAGCUCGUGCCGUGAGGUGUCGGCUUAAGUGCCAUAACGAGCGCAACCCUUAUCUUUAGUUACUAACAGGUUAUGCUGAGGACUGUAGAGAGACUGCCGUCGUAAGAUGUGAGGAAGGUGGGGAUGACGUCAAAUCAGCACGGCCCUUACGUCCGGGGCUACACACGUGUUACAAUGGGGGGUACAGAAGGCAGCUAGCGGGUGACCGUAUGCUAAUCCCAAAAUCCUCUCUCAGUUCGGAUCGAAGUCUGCAACCCGACUUCGUGAAGCUGGAUUCGUUAGUAAUCGCGCAUCAGCCACGGCGCGGUGAAUACGUUCCCGGGCCUUGUACACACCGCCCGUCAAGCCAUGGGAGCCGGGGGUACCUGAAGUACGUAACCGCAAGGA